CACUCUGGGAUAAGCCUGGGAAACUGGGUCUAAUACUGGAUAUGACCGAUCUCCGCAUGGAGUGUUGGUGGAAAGUUUUUGUGGUGGGGGAUGGACUCGCGGCCUAUCAGCUUGUUGGUGGGGUAAUGGCCUACCAAGGCGACGACGGGUAGCCGGCCUGAGAGGGCGACCGGCCACACUGGGACUGAGACACGGCCCAGACUCCUACGGGAGGCAGCAGUGGGGAAUAUUGCACAAUGGGCGAAAGCCUGAUGCAGCGACGCCGCGUGAGGGAUGACGGCCUUCGGGUUGUAAACCUCUUUCACCAGGGACGAAGCUAACGUGACGGUACCUGGAGAAGAAGCACCGGCUAACUACGUGCCAGCAGCCGCGGUAAUACGUAGGGUGCGAGCGUUGUCCGGAAUUAUUGGGCGUAAAGAGCUUGUAGGCGGUUUGUCGCGUCUGCUGUGNAAAGACCGGGGCUUAACUCCGGUUCUGCAGUGGGUACGGGCAGACUAGAGUGUGGUAGGGGAGACUGGAAUUCCUGGUGUAGCGGUGAAAUGCGCAGAUAUCAGGAGGAACACCGAUGGCGAAGGCAGGUCUCUGGGCCAUUACUGACGCUGAGAAGCGAAAGCAUGGGGAGCGAACAGGAUUAGAUACCCUGGUAGUCCAUGCCGUAAACGUUGGGCGCUAGGUGUGGGACUCAUUCCACGAGUUCCGUGCCGCAGCUAACGCAUUAAGCGCCCCGCCUGGGGAGUACGGCCGCAAGGCUAAAACUCAAAGGAAUUGACGGGGGCCCGCACAAGCGGCGGAGCAUGCGGAUUAAUUCGAUGCAACGCGAAGAACCUUACCAAGGCUUGACAUACACCGGAAUCAUGCAGAGAUGUGUGCGUCUUCGGACUGGUGUACAGGUGGUGCAUGGUUGUCGUCAGCUCGUGUCGUGAGAUGUUGGGGUUAAGUCCCGCAACGAGCGCAACCCUCGUUCCAUGUUGCCAGCACGUAAAGGUGGGGACUCAUGGGAGACUGCCGGGGUCAACUCGGAGGAAGGUGGGGAUGACGUCAAAUCAUCAUGCCCCUUAUGUCUUGGGCUUCACGCAUGCUACAAUGGCCGGUACAGAGGGUUGCGAAACCGUGAGGUGGAGCUAAUCCCAAAAAACCGGUCUCAGUUCGGAUUGGGGUCUGCAACUCGACCCCAUGAAGUCGGAGUCG
Molecule: ribosomal RNA, 1188 nt
Filed under: Dermacoccus sp.
Lineage: Bacteria; Bacillati; Actinomycetota; Actinomycetes; Micrococcales; Dermacoccaceae
Description: bacterial SSU rRNA
Rfam family: Bacterial small subunit ribosomal RNA
Source: RNAcentral